UGGGGAAUUUUCCGUUAAUGGGCGAAAGCCUGACGGAGCAAUGCCGCGUGGAGGUGGAAGGCCUACGGGUCGUCAACUUCUUUUCUCGGAGAAGAAACAAUGACGGUAUCUGAGGAAUAAGCAUCGGCUAACUCUGCGCCAG
This 142-nucleotide ribosomal RNA is filed under the name uncultured bacterium. RNAcentral describes it as "partial 16S rRNA". It matches the Rfam family "Bacterial small subunit ribosomal RNA", at positions 355 to 511 of the family's 1533-position model. The record is from RNAcentral.